Molecule: ribosomal RNA, 465 nt
Filed under: Vreelandella stevensii
Lineage: Bacteria; Pseudomonadati; Pseudomonadota; Gammaproteobacteria; Oceanospirillales; Halomonadaceae
Description: partial 16S ribosomal RNA
Rfam family: Bacterial small subunit ribosomal RNA
Source: RNAcentral
CCUACGGGAGGCUGCAGUGGGGAAUAUUGGACAAUGGGCGAAAGCCUGAUCCAGCCAUGCCGCGUGUGUGAAGAAGGCCUUCGGGUUGUAAAGCACUUUCAGUGGGGAAGAAAGCCUUGGGGCUAAUACCCUCGAGGAAGGACAUCACCCACAGAAGAAGCACCGGCUAACUCCGUGCCAGCAGCCGCGGUAAUACGGAGGGUGUGAGCGUUAAUCGGAAUUACUGGGCGUAAAGCGCGCGUAGGCGGUCUGAUAAGCCGGUUGUGAAAGCCCCGGGCUCAACCUGGGAACGGCAUCCGGAACUGUCAGGCUAGAGUGCAGGAGAGGAAGGGAGAAUUCCCGGUGUAGCGGUGAAAUGCGUAGAGAUCGGGAGGAAUACCAGUGGAGAAGGCGGCCUUCUGGACUGACACUGACGCUGAGGUGCGAAAGCGUGGGUAGCAAACAGGAUUAGAUACCCCUGUAGUC